RNAcentral lists this ribosomal RNA (515 nucleotides) under uncultured bacterium. Its description in RNAcentral is "bacterial SSU rRNA". It matches the Rfam family "Bacterial small subunit ribosomal RNA", at positions 10 to 518 of the family's 1533-position model. The record is from RNAcentral.
AGUUUGAUAUGGCUCAGGAUGAACGCUAGCGACAGGCUUAACACAUGCAAGUCGAGGGGCAGCAUAGAAGUAGCAAUACUUGGUGGCGACCGGCGCACGGGUGAGUAACGCGUAUGCAACCUACCUAUCAGAGGGGAAUAACCCGGCGAAAGUCGGACUAAUACCGCAUAAAACAGGGGCACCGCAUGGUGAUAUUUGUUAAAGAAAUUCGCUGAUAGAUGGGCAUGCGUUCCAUUAGGUAGUUGGUGAGGUAACGGCUCACCAAGCCGACGAUGGAUAGGGGAACUGAGAGGUUGGUCCCCCACACUGGUACUGAGACACGGACCAAACUCCUACGGGAGGCAGCAGUGAGGAAUAUUGGUCAAUGGGCGAGAGCCUGAACCAGCCAAGUAAGCGUGAAGGAUGAAGGCUCUAUGGGUCGUAAACUUCUUUUAUAUGGGAACAAAGUUUUCCACGUGUGGAAUUUUGUAUGUACCAUAUGAAUAAGGAUCGGCUAACUCCGUGCCAGCCGCCGC